UAAGGGCGCACGGUGGAUGCCUUGGCACUAGAAGCCGAUGAAGGACGUUACUAACGACGAUAUGCUUUGGGGAGCUGUAAGUAAGCUUUGAUCCAGAGAUUUCCGAAUGGGGAAACCCAGCAUGAGUUAUGUCAUGUUAUCGAUAUGUGAAUACAUAGCAUAUCAGAAGGCACACCCGGAGAACUGAAACAUCUUAGUACCCGGAGGAAGAGAAAGAAAAUUCGAUUCCCUUAGUAGCGGCGAGCGAAACGGGAAGAGCCCAAACCAACAAGCUUGCUUGUUGGGGUUGUAGGACACUCUAUACGGAGUUACAAAGGACGACAUUAGACGAAUCAUCUGGAAAGAUGAAUCAAAGAAGGUAAUAAUCCUGUAGUCGAAAAUGUUGUCUCUCUUGAGUGGAUCCUGAGUACGACGGAGCACGUGAAAUUCCGUCGGAAUCUGGGAGGACCAUCUCCUAAGGCUAAAUACUCUCUAGUGACCGAUAGUGAACCAGUACCGUGAGGGAAAGGUGAAAAGCACCCCGGAAGGGGAGUGAAAUAGAACCUGAAACCGUGUGCUUACAAGUAGUCAGAGCCCGUUAAUGGGUGAUGGCGUGCCUUUUGUAGAAUGAACCGGCGAGUUACGAUUUGAUGCAAGGUUAAGCAGUAAAUGUGGAGCCGUAGCGAAAGCGAGUCUGAAUAGGGCGUUUAGUAUUUGGUCGUAGACCCGAAACCAGGUGAUCUACCCUUGGUCAGGUUGAAGUUCAGGUAACACUGAAUGGAGGACCGAACCGACUUACGUUGAAAAGUGAGCGGAUGAACUGAGGGUAGCGGAGAAAUUCCAAUCGAACCUGGAGAUAGCUGGUUCUCUCCGAAAUAGCUUUAGGGCUAGCCUCAAGUGAUGAUUAUUGGAGGUAGAGCACUGUUUGGACGAGGGGCCCCUCUCGGGUUACCGAAUUCAGACAAACUCCGAAUGCCAAUUAAUUUAACUUGGGAGUCAGAACAUGGGUGAUAAGGUCCGUGUUCGAAAGGGAAACAGCCCAGACCACCAGCUAAGGUCCCAAAAUAUAUGUUAAGUGGAAAAGGAUGUGGCGUUGCCCAGACAACUAGGAUGUUGGCUUAGAAGCAGCCAUCAUUUAAAGAGUGCGUAAUAGCUCACUAGUCGAGUGACACUGCGCCGAAAAUGUACCGGGGCUAAACAUAUUACCGAAGCUGUGGAUUGUCCUUUGGAC
RNAcentral lists this ribosomal RNA (1210 nucleotides) under Staphylococcus aureus. RNAcentral's name for it is "partial 23S ribosomal RNA". It matches the Rfam family "Bacterial large subunit ribosomal RNA", at positions 12 to 1223 of the family's 2925-position model. The record is from RNAcentral. Lineage: Bacteria; Bacillati; Bacillota; Bacilli; Caryophanales; Staphylococcaceae.